UACAUGGGGUGCAAACGUUGCUCGGAAUUAUUGGGCGUAAAGCGCGCGUAGGCGGUUACUUAAGUCGGAUGUGAAAGCCCUCGGCUUAACUGAGGAAGUGCACCCGAAACUGAGUAGCUAGAGUACGAAAGAGGGUCGCGGAAUUCCCGGUGUAGAGGUGAAAUUCGUAGAUAUCGGGAGGAACACCGGUGGCGAAGGCGGCGACCUGGGUCGAGACUGACGCUGAGGCGCGAAAGCGUGGGUAGCAAACAGG
RNAcentral lists this ribosomal RNA (253 nucleotides) under uncultured bacterium. RNAcentral's name for it is "partial 16S ribosomal RNA". It matches the Rfam family "Bacterial small subunit ribosomal RNA", at positions 524 to 776 of the family's 1533-position model. The record is from RNAcentral.